Molecule: ribosomal RNA, 448 nt
Filed under: uncultured bacterium
Lineage: Bacteria
Description: bacterial SSU rRNA
Rfam family: Bacterial small subunit ribosomal RNA
Source: RNAcentral
ACCAGACUCCUACGGGAGGCAGCAGUGGGGGAUAUUGCACAAUGGGGGGAACCCUGAUGCAGCGACGCCGCGUGGGUGAAGAAGCGCCUCGGCGCGUAAAGCCCUGUCAGCAGGGAAGAAAAUGACGGUACCUGAAGAAGAAGCCCCGGCUAACUACGUGCCAGCAGCCGCGGUAAUACGUAGGGGGCAAGCGUUGUCCGGAUUUACUGGGUGUAAAUGGGGCGCAGACGGCGAUGCAAGCCAGGAGUGAAAGCCCGGGGCCCAACCCCGGGACUGCUCUUGGAACUGCGUGGCUGGAGUGCAGGAGGGGCAGGCGGAAUUCCUGGUGUAGCGGUGAAAUGCGUAGAUAUCAGGAGGAACACCGGUGGCGAAGGCGGCCUGCUGGACUGCAACUGACGUUGAGGCCCGAAAGCGUGGGGAGCAAACAGGAUUAGAUACCCUAGUAGAG